UGGUUGUGGUAGUGGGUUUUCCACCUA
Molecule: non-coding RNA, 27 nt
Filed under: Homo sapiens (human)
Lineage: Eukaryota; Metazoa; Chordata; Mammalia; Primates; Hominidae
Source: RNAcentral